RNAcentral lists this long non-coding RNA (3165 nucleotides) under Homo sapiens (human). Its description in RNAcentral is "long independently transcribed non-coding RNA 1016 (LINC01016)". The record is from RNAcentral. Lineage: Eukaryota; Metazoa; Chordata; Mammalia; Primates; Hominidae.
AGCAAAUCCGAACAGGCAAAGGCCUCACUCUCCAGUGCAGUCUGGGAGGACUGAUCAGGGAAGAACAGAUCAGGGUGAAGAACAGAAAGACCCCAAGGCAUCUCCCCAAGAUGACCACAGUUGUCCCUGAAGAAGCAGUCACAGCAAGCUCACUUCACAGGAACCAAGCUGUGGGCUGAUCCUACAGACUUGAAAAGACAACUCAAAAAGAUUGUCUGUGGGGUCAGAAACAGCUCUGGAGGGGUCUGCAGAAAUUACUUUCCCAAGUCUUUGGGCUGGAAGGAACGAACAGUGCCUGACCAAGGACUUUGAGCAGGAGAGAGAUGGGAGCAGAGAGGAGCCAAGGUCUACUAUUUUCACUUCUGUCAAUUAGAUCAAAGCCCUGCCCAGAAGCUUUGAGCGCCGCUGUCAAGUCCCAUUCCUCCCCUAAACCAUCCAGGUUCCAUCUGCCUUGAAGCCAAAGGAUCUUCUUAGAUUCCUCAAGAAAAAUUCAGGCCCCGAGUUUCUCCACCAGCACUCUCCUCUCCCCGAAGGAGUGGGUGGGCUGCAUUUCUCUUCAUAUUCUAUUCCAUUCCAGACCGUCUUGGACUACCAGCCUGUCCGCCACCCCUCGGGGCCCUCCCUCCUACUCUGCCCUUGCCCGCUGAGGUCCCAAGCUGAGGAGAUGAGCCGAGCAGUAAAAAGAGAGGAGGUUUGGAAAAGCAAUGUCCUCUCAGUCUUUAAUAGGUGGCCCCCCUGGGAACCUGCUGGAAGUGGAAGUUAAUAAGCUGAAGGUGGUCACAACCAAUCUCUGCCACACUCGCACCCUACCCCACCCCAAAUCAUUCCUUUUAAUUAAUAGUGGAAGACCUUUUUAAAAAUGUAACAUGAAUUGGCUAUUUCUUGAGGCAAACAAAAGGUGGCUCUGAAGCGAUAUAUUUGUACUCGUAUAAAUUCAUUAAAAUAGAAAGCUUAUAACCAUCCAGGUUUCACUGACAGCCCCAGUCCAUCUACAUGCAGAAAUGGUCCCUCCAAAGCCCUCUACGACAAUUAUUCUCACAGAUCGUCAUGAUAAACUGUAAGGGAAUAUACUAAGAAAGAGGGAAGAAGAGAGGAGGAGUCCAUUUUUAAUUAGUGGUUGGAAAUAGAGUAAAAAUUAGAGGGCCUUAGGUUUAAAACACAGAUGUGCAUUGUGAUCGUCUGAAGGAAGAGCUGUUGACAGAGAAAACAAGGUGGUGAACUAUGCCCUUGGCCUGUGACAGUUAGGUGAGGGUUGCUCACCGCAGAAGACAGACCGGUAGAGCCCAGCAGGAAAGAGGGUAUCAGGCUGGAAGAAGUGCAGUUUGGCCCUGGCGGAGUGGUGGAGUGGCUGGAGCGACUGCAGGAGGAGGAUAGAUCUGGAAGCAGGUCUGGGCUAUACUUUGGCCUCAGCCAGGGAGCCAGAGAAGGAAGGCUUGGGUUCGAGGGGGGAAAUCAUUCUCCCAAAUUGCUUUCUCAGAAGCGCCAAUUCAGAUCACCUGAAGACAGGGUCUGGGCCCCAUUACAGCAUGGUUCCCAAAUGGGAGUGUGCUUGGAAGCCUUGGUGAUUAAAGGGUGCUGACUAAAAGAGUCAAACUCUGUAAAAUAUUUGAAGAGAUUUAUUCUGAGCCAAAUAUGAGUGACCAUGGCCCAUGACACAGCCCUCAGGAGACCCUGAGAACAUGUGUUCAAGGUGGUCGGGGUACAGCUUGGUUUUAUAUGUUUUAGGAAGGCAUGAGACUCAAUCAAAGACAUUUUAAAAAUACAUUGGUUUGGUUCAGAAAGGUGAGACAACUCAAAGUGGGGGCUUCCAGGCUAUAGGUAAAUUUAAACAUUUUCUGACUGACAAUUGGUUGGGUUUAUCUGGAGACCUGGGAUUAAUGGAAAGGAAGGUUCAUGUUAAGAUACAGAACUGUGGGGACCAAGUUUUAUUGUGCAGAGGAAUCUCUCAGAUAGCAGACUUCAGAGAGAGAGAGAGCAGGUUGUAAAAUGUUUCUUAUCGGACCUAAAAGGGUACCUGGCUCUUAGUUGAUUAUCUCCUGGAUCUGGGAAGGAAGGAAGGAAAACAAAGGGGAAAGGAAAUAUUUCCUAUAGAAUAUGGAUUUUUCCCACAAGAGACUUUGCAGGACAAUUUCGAGAUAUGGCAAGGAGAUUUAUUUUGGGGUAAAACAUUUUGAUUUUCUUCCUUGUUAUGCCACAGUCAGAUUGGAAAGUCAGUCAUGAUAUACAGGGUCAGAUAAAAUCCGUCUGAUGAGAAUGUAUGGUUGGUAGGGCAUGACUCCCCAGACCCCUUAGAUAGGAAUCUGGGCAAGAUAAAAAAUCGGAGCUUAGUCCUCAAGGGAAGGGGCAGCAGCGCUGUUGGCGGGCUCACCAAGCAUCAGUACUGGAUCACCAGGCUUGGGAGAGUAGGGGUGUCAAGGCCCCAAGAGCAGGGAGGGCCUUGGCCCCACUAGGGGGGCAUCAGAAAGCAGGGAGCACUUGUAGUUCACCAUGAUUCCCCUCAAAGCCCUGGGCCAGCCUCCUGCAGGGAAGGCGGGCAGGAAGUCUUCCCCAUAGGGGCAGGCUUGCUUUUUUGGCCAGCCAUCCUCUUCAUAUGAAAAACAGCAUCUUGUCAUUUCUAGAUGUUUCUACUUUGGUUGACUCUUUAAUUUUUCUGCAGUUAAAAGCCUUAAAACAGCAAGGAAGCAGGGGACAGGAGGGGAGCCCAGAUCUCUCCCAAAGAAAAGGAGAAAGACUGAAUCCUUGAGGCCUGCCGUACAAAGGAGUGGUGGGUUGGAGGAGGGUAGGCAGAGACUAGGGUGGUCUGGGACUUUAAGUACAAGGCCCCGUGGAUUUCAUUGGGGGGCAAGCCAUGUGCAACAGGGAAGCUCAGGAACCGGGGGGUUUCGCACAGAGGUCUGGUGCUGUGAGGUACAGGGAAAGAAUUAGUGGAUCUGGACCAGUGGAACAUUGGUUUAGUGUAAUCUCUGAUUUGUGUUGAGUGAAUUUGAGUAUAGUCCAACCACCACCCCCCUACCCCAACUAAACCAUGUGCCCCUCAGGAGCUGGGACUCUUCUAUUUUCUAUUCCUUAUAGCAGGCUCAGUGCCUGACACACUACGUUGAAUUUUAUUUUAAACAUUUCAUUUACAUUAAAUGGUAUAUUUGCAAGUUCAAAAAAAAAAAAAAA